RNAcentral lists this ribosomal RNA (416 nucleotides) under uncultured bacterium. RNAcentral's name for it is "bacterial SSU rRNA". It matches the Rfam family "Bacterial small subunit ribosomal RNA", at positions 60 to 486 of the family's 1533-position model. The record is from RNAcentral.
AGUCGAACGAAGACAUCUGAGUGCUUGCACUUGGAUGGACUGAGUGGCGGACGGGUGAGUAACGCGUGGGUAACCUGCCUUAUACAGGGGGAUAACAGUUGGAAACGACUGCUAAUACCGCAUAAGCGCACGGUAUCGCAUGAUACAGUGUGAAAAACUCCGGUGGUAUAAGAUGGACCCGCGUCUGAUUAGCUAGUUGGUGAGGUAACGGCCCACCAAGGCGACGAUCAGUAGCCGGCCUGAGAGGGUGAACGGCCACAUUGGGACUGAGACACGGCCCAAACUCCUACGGGAGGCAGCAGUGGGGAAUAUUGCACAAUGGGGGAAACCCUGAUGCAGCGACGCCGCGUGAGUGAUGAAGUAUUUCGGUAUGUAAAACCCUAUCAGCAGGGAAGAUAAUGACGGUACCUGACUAA